UUGGUCAGGUCGGUUCAUUUUCACCGGUAACAAAUGAGUUGAGUUUCUCCGUGCCCGAACCAGACCGACGAAUUCCAUCCAUGUCUUGCGCCGCCGCCGUCUCUCUCCUCUGCCUCGCCGUACCUUCCACACGGAUUUGCGUGAUCUCCCAGUGUGGUACUCAGCCUCUGGGUGGCUCCCCGCGGCAGGGAGGCACGGAACCUCACGCCGCCCAUGUUCCUCUCUCGAUCUCUACCAUCAUGCCACCAGCCCCCUCCCCUCCUCCACCCAACGGCUGCUUUGACCUCUCUUCUCCUCCUCAUGGAUGCCUCGCCUGCGUUGCCUCACCUCUCGCGGCGCCUCCUUGGCUCAUCUGCUAGGCAAACUCCAUAACCCUCUCGGCCCCUCCUUCUCCUGUCCCCUUGGCGCGCACCAAACCCCCACAUGCUUCCCCUAGCGGACCACAUCAGAUUCACCCGGACUUUGAUCGGUGUUUUUCUUUUCUUUUCUUUUCACGCCUUCCUUGAUCUUUGCUACUCGGUGUCGAGCAUCGACGGUCAGCACAACAGAAAGGUCAUACCGGUUUUGAGCUCUCUCAUGUGAAAUGAUUUAUUUGGAUCAAGAUGGUUUUAGACUUUUAGGAGGAAUUCAUAUGUAGGUUUAUGUUCCCUUGUGGAUGAAAAGGUACAUUUAUAUACUAUAUGAUUUUAGUGAGCUUGAUGCUUUGUUUGGGAGUUGAUUGGUUCAAUCUUUUCCUUUCAUGCAUGUGAUUCCUAUAUUAUAGGCUCGGGUGCUCUGUUUUUUAGAUGCUCAGAUGAAGAGGUUUCCUCUCCUGGUAUUGUCUGGAUAGAGAAAGAGAUCUCUGUUUGCAUUAGUAUUGGUGGUGUCCCUGUCCCAGUUCUAUUAUCAGGAGUCAUUGAGCAGGAUGAUUCACAAGAACUUAUGCUUUGAGUUGUCUUUAACAAGAUACCAAGGAGAGAAAAGGCUGAAGCUAUAUGUUCGUGUUUGAGUUAUUUGCAAUAUAUGUACACAAAAUUUUCCGUCAGGAACAGACAUUUUCUUAAUGAGAUCACUGAGUUACCCCUUUAUCAUGUUUUGCAUUAUCUACAGACAGAAUAUUCUUACAUGGGGUCUGGCAUCAUCUACUAGCCUUAGUUUAGUACCAUUGAACAACUUUCCAUUCAUUUCUAAUUUAUCUUUGCUACGAAGUUGCAGGGUGAUGGAAUACACUGUCUUGUGCCCAAAGGCUUGCUUUCCAAAUUUCAGCAGCUGAUGUCUGAAGGUCGUGUAUGUUAUCUACAGUUCUUUCAUAUUAGCCCCGCCAAAAGGCAGGCUUGAGAAGUUGAGAUAUUUCAGGUCAAGAUUCAACUGGUCGAUUUGGGUGCAGAACUUUUGAGGUUGAUCAUUCUGUUGAAUGCAUUGCUGAAUGAGGACGUCGAUUUAAGACAGACAAGGAAUCUACUAUGCACCGAACAGCUCUGACUCGGCACAACAGAUACCGCCUCCAACAAGCAAGAACGAAGCCAACGGAAGGAAACACCACCAAACUCAACAUAAUUAAGACACAACGCAAUGGAACAUAAUUAAGACACAACGCAAUGGAAUUGAAACCACGGUGACGCAAAUGACCAUAAUAAUCCACGAAGAAAGAAAAGGGAAGUUGAACCCAGAAUCAAAAAACGGCGCGGCAAAGCGCGCGUCACCUUCUAGUCCACGUACAUGAUAGGUAACAAGGCAAGUCAGUUUGUAAAGGAAAGUGAUCAAAAGAGACAGGAAAAUAAAGAUUGUUAUUUUUUUAGUCGGUCACGACCACCAGAAGUUGCCGAUGGUUUGCCUAACGAGCAUCGCUCGUGGAGAUUAUUCUCCCUGAAGGACACGGGCUGGGGCCCACCAACAUGCAUGGCAAUUAGAGAUAACGUGCAUGACACAAAUAUUAGAUACAUCAGCUUAGAUUUUUCUGGUUCUAGUUGGUUGGGUACUUUUCUUUCGGGUCAAGUUAGAGGUGCGGCUACUACUAUAAAGCCAAGCCUGCGUGCUUUGUAAUUUUUAGGUUAUAUUUUCUACAGGUUAGACAACAUGUGUAUCAAAUAUUAAGUAGCCCUCUUUGGGUGUCGUUGUUAAUUAUUUUGUGUGAUUUUUCUGCAUGAAAGUUGCACUUGGCUCGAGGUCUGUCGUUCUCGACGGGUUGCGUGCUGGUUACGUCUACUUCAGCGGGAGGUUGCUCGUGUGUCGAGGGAUUGUCUGUU
Long non-coding RNA from Triticum aestivum (bread wheat), 2225 nucleotides. RefSeq lists it as uncharacterized. The record is from RefSeq and is a predicted model, not a curated record. Lineage: Eukaryota; Viridiplantae; Streptophyta; Magnoliopsida; Poales; Poaceae. The transcript has 3 exons.